This 460-nucleotide ribosomal RNA is filed under the name uncultured bacterium. Its description in RNAcentral is "partial 16S ribosomal RNA". It matches the Rfam family "Bacterial small subunit ribosomal RNA", at positions 338 to 795 of the family's 1533-position model. The record is from RNAcentral.
CCUACGGGCGGCAGCAGUGAGGAAUAUUGGUCAAUGGACGAGAGUCUGAACCAGCCAAGUAGCGUGAAGGAUGACUGCCCUAUGGGUUGUAAACUUCUUUUAUAAAGGAAUAAAACGAGGCACGUGUGCCUUUUUGCAUGUACUUUAUGAAUAAGGAUCGGCUAACUCCGUGCCAGCAGCCGCGGUAAUACGGAGGAUCCGAGCGUUAUCCGGAUUUAUUGGGUUUAAAGGGAGCGUAGAUGGGUUGUUAAGUCAGUUGUGAAAGUUUGCGGCUCAACCGUAAAAUUGCAAUUGUUACUGGCAGUCGUGAGUACAGUUGAGGUAGGCGGAAUUCGUGGUGUAGCGGUGAAAUGCUUAGAUAUCACGAAGAACCCCGAUUGCGAAGGCAGCUUACUAAACUGUGACUGACAUUGAUGCUCGAAAGUGUGGGUAUCAAACAGGAUUAGAUACCCGGGUAGUC